Molecule: ribosomal RNA, 499 nt
Filed under: Chiua virens
Lineage: Eukaryota; Fungi; Basidiomycota; Agaricomycetes; Boletales; Boletaceae
Description: eukaryotic LSU rRNA
Rfam family: 5.8S ribosomal RNA (bases 1-106)
Source: RNAcentral
GAAUCGCGAUAAGUAAUGUGAAUUGCAGAUUUUCAGUGAAUCAUCGAAUCUUUGAACGCACUUUGCGCCCCUUGGUAUUCCGAGGGGCAUGCCUGUUUGAGUGUCAGUGAAUUUAUCAACCAUGUCUUGGACUUUGUUUCUAGACACGGCUUGGACUUGGGAGCUUGCUGGUCUUUCAUGAUCAGCUCUCCUUAAAUGCAUUAGCGGAGCAUCCGAGGCUAGUCUUCUUCGGCGUUGCAUGGCUUGGACGUGAUAGUGAUAGAUCGUCCUGGCUUGGAGCGUCAAGACAAACUCGGGCACUUUGCUUCCAAUCCAUCUGGAUGGGGAUCAUCUUGCUGGAGGAGACUUUAGUUAUUAGUGGACACGAACACAGUCGGGCUAGAAAACCCCUCUGUUAUUAGUCGAGACGAACACAAGGCCAUCCAAAACAUAGACUGGGUUCCAUCUGACUUUUUACACCCUUGACCUCAAAUCAGGUAGGACUACCCGCUGAACUUAA